Molecule: transfer RNA, 72 nt
Organism: Camelus ferus (Wild Bactrian camel)
Lineage: Eukaryota; Metazoa; Chordata; Mammalia; Artiodactyla; Camelidae
Rfam family: tRNA
About the family: Transfer RNA (tRNA) molecules are approximately 80 nucleotides in length. Their secondary structure includes four short double-helical elements and three loops (D, anti-codon, and T loops).
Source: Rfam
GAGGGUAUAGCUCUGUGGUACAGCGCAUGCCUAGCAUGCAUGAGGUCCUAGGUUCAAUUCCCAGUACCUCCG